This 305-nucleotide ribosomal RNA is filed under the name uncultured bacterium. RNAcentral describes it as "bacterial SSU rRNA". It matches the Rfam family "Bacterial small subunit ribosomal RNA", at positions 337 to 657 of the family's 1533-position model. The record is from RNAcentral.
ACCUACGGGACGCAGCAGUCGGGAAUAUUGCGCAAUGGAGGAAACUCUGACGCAGUGACGCCGCGUGCAGGAAGAAGGUUUUCGGAUUGUAAACUGCUUUAGACAGGGAAGAAAGAAAUGACGGUACCUGUAGAAUAAGCUCCGGCUAACCACGUGCCAGCAGCCGCGGUAAUACGUAGGUGGCGAGCGUUAUCCGGAAUGAUUGGGCGUAAAGGGUGCGUAGGCGGUCGAUUAAGUCUGGAGUGAAAGGUACCGGCUCAACCGGUAUAGGCUCCGGAAACUGAUGGACUGGAGUACAGGAGAGG